RNAcentral lists this ribosomal RNA (428 nucleotides) under uncultured archaeon. RNAcentral describes it as "bacterial SSU rRNA". It matches the Rfam family "Archaeal small subunit ribosomal RNA", at positions 474 to 903 of the family's 1478-position model. The record is from RNAcentral.
UACCUGCAGCUCGAGUGGUAACCGCUAUUAUUGGGCCUAAAGCGUCCGUAGCCGGUUUGGUAAAUAUCUGGGUAAAUCGUGAGGCUUAACUUCACGAAUUUCGGAUAGACUGCCAGACUUGGGAUCGGGGGAGGUCAGAGGUACUCCAGGGGUAGCGGUGAAAUGUUGUAAUCCUUGGAGGACCACCGGUAGCGAAGGCGUCUGACUAGAACGAGUCCGACGGUGAGGGACGAAGCCCUGGGGCGCAAACCGGAUUAGAUACCCGGGUAGUCCAGGGUGUAAACGAUGUGGGCUUUGUAUUGGAGGUCCCACGUGGGCGUCCAGUGCAGAAGAGAAGUUGUUAAGCCCACCGCCUGGGAAGUACGGUCGCAAGGCUGAAACUUAAAGGAAUUGCGGGGGAGCACAGCAACGGGAGGAGCGUGCGGUUU